AAGAAGAUGAGCUGUCAUGUUAUGGUUCUCAAAAUACAGGAAUACAUUGUUCAAGUGAUAUCAUCUUACAGCCUGCCUCCUUGUCAUUUCUAGAACUCUCCAGUGACUGAGGCCCAAGUAUCUAGAGAAGAUGACAGAGGAUUGCGCCAGGAGAAUGGUUGUAAUGACAGAUCACCUGUGGAACUGACUCAUAUGCUUCAGAAGCAGGUCCAAUAUUUUAACCACCUGUUUUUAUGUGGGCCUCCAAUGCAUCAGAGACUGAGGAGAAGAAUUCGAAGUUAUUAAAGUUGCCGAACCUCCGAACUGAAUAUCUACAUUGCAGGAAGUGAUGAAUGUUACGCAAAGUUGCUGCAUCAGCUAGUUUGAAUUUGGCAUACUGCUU
RNAcentral lists this long non-coding RNA (382 nucleotides) under Lingula anatina. Its description in RNAcentral is "uncharacterized LOC106174501, transcript variant X2". Lineage: Eukaryota; Metazoa; Brachiopoda; Lingulata; Lingulida; Lingulidae. The record is from RNAcentral.